GGGGGCGACCUGGCUUCGACGUGGGUUGCAAAACCAGAGGUGCAUGCCGAGAAUGAGAACUCUCGUAAAUCAGGCUCAAAUAAAUAUAAAUGCAAACGAUGAAAACUUCGUAGAAGCUAACUUUGAUGACGCUAUUGCAGCCUAAUCAACCUUAGUGGAAGCAAUGUGUACUGGCCUAAACCCCAGUGCCCCGUUGACCGAGCUCGCUUAUCGGUAUCGAAUCAACGGUCAUAGAAGAUAAGCUAGUGUCCUAAUCCAUCCCGGGUUAAGAUGCGAAACUCAGGGAAUCGCUGUGUCCUAUCCUGCCCGUCGGAGAGUCCACAGUUAAAUCAAAUGACAAGGCUACGCAUGUAGAACUGAAGGCAGAGGAUUUGCGGACGCGGGUUCGAUUCCCGCCGCCUCCACCA
Molecule: transfer-messenger RNA, 407 nt
Filed under: Legionella antarctica
Lineage: Bacteria; Pseudomonadati; Pseudomonadota; Gammaproteobacteria; Legionellales; Legionellaceae
Description: Standard tmRNA
Rfam family: transfer-messenger RNA
About the family: Bacterial tmRNA, also known as 10Sa RNA or SsrA, is named for its dual tRNA and mRNA-like properties. Its role is to liberate the mRNA from a stalled ribosome. To accomplish this part of the tmRNA is used as a reading frame that ends in a translation stop signal.
Source: Rfam by way of RNAcentral